Molecule: ribosomal RNA, 327 nt
Filed under: uncultured eukaryote
Lineage: Eukaryota
Description: partial 18S ribosomal RNA
Rfam family: Eukaryotic small subunit ribosomal RNA
Source: RNAcentral
CCAUUAGAUGUUCUGGGCCGCACACGCGCUACACUGAAGGAGGCAGCGUGUACUCCUGGAUCGAAAGAUUUGGGUAACCCGCGAAUCUCCUUCGUGCUAGGGAUUGAGGUUUGCAAUUAUCCUUCAUGAACGAGGAAUUCCCAGUAAGUGCAAGUCAUAAGCUUGCGCUGACUACGUCCCUGCCCUUUGUACACACCGCCCGUCGCUACUACCGAUUGAAUGAUUUAGUGAGGACUUCGGACUGGGACCGAUGCGGCUUUCGGGCUGCGUCGGUAUUCUGGAAAGAUGUCCAAACUGUAUCAUUUAGAGGAAGUAAAAGUCGUAACA